GUGAGGAAUUUUCCGCAAUGGGCGAAAGCCUGACGGAGCAAUGCCGCGUGAAGGAUGAAGGCCUAUGGGUUGUAAACUUCUUUUCUUAGAGAAGAAUAUUGACGGUAUCUGAGGAAUAAGCAUCGGCUAACUCUGUGCCAGCAGCCGCGGUAAGACAGAGGGUGCAAACGUUGCUCGGAAUUACUGGGCGUAAAGCGCAUGUAGGCGGGUACGCAAGUCGGGAGUGAAAUCCCUGGGCUCAACCUAGGAACUGCUUUCGAAACUGCGCAUCUGGAGUGAUGGAGAGGAGAGCGGAAUUCCCGGUGUAGAGGUGAAAUUCGUAGAUAUCGGGAGGAACACCAGUGGCGAAGGCGGCUCUCUGGCCAUUGACUGACGCUGAGAUGCGAAAGCGUGGGGAGCAAACAGGAUUAGAAACCCCGGUAGUCC
This 426-nucleotide ribosomal RNA is filed under the name uncultured bacterium. RNAcentral describes it as "partial 16S ribosomal RNA". It matches the Rfam family "Bacterial small subunit ribosomal RNA", at positions 354 to 796 of the family's 1533-position model. The record is from RNAcentral.